GAACCAGUACCGUGAGGGAAAGGUGAAAAGCACCCCGGAAGGGGAGUGAAAUAGAACCUGAAACCGUGUGCUUACAAGUAGUCAGAGCCCGUUAAUGGGUGAUGGCGUGCCUUUUGUAGAAUGAACCGGCGAGUUACGAUUUGAUGCAAGGUUAAGCAGUAAAUGUGGAGCCGUAGCGAAAGCGAGUCUGAAUAGGGCGUUUAGUAUUUGGUCGUAGACCCGAAACCAGGUGAUCUACCCUUGGUCAGGUUGAAGUUCAGGUAACACUGAAUGGAGGACCGAACCGACUUACGUUGAAAAGUGAGCGGAUGAACUGAGGGUAGCGGAGAAAUUCCAAUCGAACCUGGAGAUAGCUGGUUCUCUCCGAAAUAGCUUUAGGGCUAGCCUCAAGUGAUGAUUAUUGGAGGUAGAGCACUGUUUGGACGAGGGGCCCCUCUCGGGUUACCGAAUUCAGACAAACUCCGAAUGCCAAUUAAUUUAACUUGGGAGUCAGAACAUGGGUGAUAAGGUCCGUGUUCGAAAGGGAAACAGCCCAGACCACCAGCUAAGGUCCCAAAAUAUAUGUUAAGUGGAAAAGGAUGUGGCGUUGCCCAGACAACUAGGAUGUUGGCUUAGAAGCAGCCAUCAUUUAAAGAGUGCGUAAUAGCUCACUAGUCGAGUGACACUGCGCCGAAAAUGUACCGGGGCUAAACAUAUUACCGAAGCUGUGGAUUGUCCUUUGGACAAUGGUAGGAGAGCGUUCUAAGGGCGUUGAAGCAUGAUCGUAAGGACAUGUGGAGCGCUUAGAAGUGAGAAUGCCGGUGUGAGUAGCGAAAGACGGGUGAGAAUCCCGUCCACCGAUUGACUAAGGUUUCCAGAGGAAGGCUCGUCCGCUCUGGGUUAGUCGGGUCCUAAGCUGAGGCCGACAGGCGUAGGCGAUGGAUAACAGGUUGAUAUUCCUGUACCACCUAUAAUCGUUUUAAUCGAUGGGGGGACGCAGUAGGAUAGGCGAAGCGUGCGAUUGGAUUGCACGUCUAAGCAGUAAGGCUGAGUAUUAGGCAAAUCCGGUACUCAUUAAGGCUGAGCUGUGAUGGGGAGAAGACAUUGUGUCUUCGAGUCGUUGAUUUCACACUGCCGAGAAAAGCCUCUAGAUAGAAAAUAGGUGCCCGUACCGCAAACCGACACAGGUAGUCAAGAUGAGAAUUCUAAGGUGAGCGAGCGAACUCUCGUUAAGGAACUCGGCAAAAUGACCCCGUAACUUCGGGAGAAGGGGUGCUCUUUAGGGUUAACGCCCAGAAGAGCCGCAGUGAAUAGGCCCAAGCGACUGUUUAUCAAAAACACAGGUCUCUGCUAAACCGUAAGGUGAUGUAUAGGGGCUGACGCCUGCCCGGUGCUGGAAGGUUAAGAGGAGUGGUUAGCUUCUGCGAAGCUACGAAUCGAAGCCCCAGUAAACGGCGGCCGUAACUAUAACGGUCCUAAGGUAGCGAAAUUCCUUGUCGGGUAAGUUCCGACCCGCACGAAAGGCGUAACGAUUUGGGCACUGUCUCAACGAGAGACUCGGUGAAAUCAUAGUACCUGUGAAGAUGCAGGUUACCCGCGACAGGACGGAAAGACCCCGUGGAGCUUUACUGUAGCCUGAUAUUGAAAUUCGGCACAGCUUGUACAGGAUAGGUAGGAGCCUUUGAAACGUGAGCGCUAGCUUACGUGGAGGCGCUGGUGGGAUACUACCCUAGCUGUGUUGGCUUUCUAACCCGCACCACUUAUCGUGGUGGGAGACAGUGUCAGGCGGGCAGUUUGACUGGGGCGGUCGCCUCCUAAAAGGUAACGGAGGCGCUCAAAGG
This 1820-nucleotide ribosomal RNA is filed under the name Staphylococcus aureus. RNAcentral's name for it is "bacterial LSU rRNA". It matches the Rfam family "Bacterial large subunit ribosomal RNA", at positions 492 to 2316 of the family's 2925-position model. Lineage: Bacteria; Bacillati; Bacillota; Bacilli; Caryophanales; Staphylococcaceae. The record is from RNAcentral.